RNAcentral lists this ribosomal RNA (370 nucleotides) under uncultured bacterium. RNAcentral describes it as "bacterial SSU rRNA". It matches the Rfam family "Bacterial small subunit ribosomal RNA", at positions 28 to 399 of the family's 1533-position model. The record is from RNAcentral.
GACGAACGCUGGCGGCGUGCUUAACACAUGCAAGUCGAGCGGUAAGGCCCUUUCGGGGGUACACGAGCGGCGAACGGGUGAGUAACACGUGGGUGACCUGCCCUUAGCUCUGGGAUAAGCCUGGGAAACUGGGUCUAAUACCGGAUAUGACUCCAUGACGCAUGUUGUGGGGUGGAAAGCCUUGUGCGGCUAGGGAUGGGCCUGCGGCCUAUCAGCUUGUUGGUGGGGUGAUGGCCUACCAAGGCGACGACGGGUAGCCGGCCUGAGAGGGCGACCGGCCACACUGGGACUGAGACACGGCCCAGACUCCUACGGGAGGCAGCAGUGGGGAAUCUUGCGCAAUGGGCGAAAGCCUGACGCAGCGACGCCG